AGAGAGAGAGAGCGUGGAGGAAACGGGCGAGGGAAGCAGGGAUGGCGAGAGCACAGUCGGGAGGAGACGCUUUAACGCAGAAAGACACUGAGGCAGAGAGAGAGCAAUAGAGAGAUAGAGGGUGUGCACGGUAUGUGGAGGGAGGCGAGCAUCCCGAGCAAGAUGGAGAGAGUGCACAUCAGAGAGGAGGCAGGGGAGAAAAGAAACGCACAAAGAGAGAGAGAACAGGGGAGGCAGAGAGAGGAGGGAAUGAAAGAAGGAAAGAAACUGACUUACCCGGCUACUGGCAUCCUUCACACGCCCGCCUCGCAGACUCCGCACACACACAUAUGCACACGCACCCACCCGGCGAUACAGGCACACGCCGCGCCGCCGCCGAGACUAACCAAAAGCAAAACAACAAAGGAGAAGACUGCCAAAGCCGACUGGGCUGCAGACUGUCUGCUCCGAGAGUCAGUUCUUCCCACGGGCCCCGGGUAGAGAUGGAGGGAGGAGAGAGAAGGGAGGAGGGACGGGCAUGGGGGGGUGAUAGUGAGCCAUGUGGAACAUGUGCAGUGCAUUAAUUUCAAAUGGGAGAGACUUUGUGGAGAAAAUUUGUGGCUUUAAAAAGGCGAAAAUGAGCCGGUUGACUGCACGUUACGUGGCCUGGGAUCAUCCAGAGAGCCGAGAAAGAUGCAGGAUGCAAAGGAAAAGGAAGUCUCUGGCUGAUCGCUGCCUUGAUUAACACUUGUUCCCCCCCCCAUUCCAGGCUUCAGGGCUGGCUGAGCACCAGAAUUAAGAGCGCAGAAGAUGAAUGAGUAUUGAAACAGGCUAGUUGCGACCAUGUGUUCAGUGAUGAGCACUAGUGAUGCCCCGCUCCCAAGCAUGAGACACUAUUUACAUCAUCAUGUUCGAACCAUAAACAGGG
Long non-coding RNA from Gasterosteus aculeatus aculeatus (three-spined stickleback), 907 nucleotides. The record is from Ensembl. Lineage: Eukaryota; Metazoa; Chordata; Actinopteri; Perciformes; Gasterosteidae.